This 392-nucleotide ribosomal RNA is filed under the name uncultured bacterium. RNAcentral describes it as "partial 16S ribosomal RNA". It matches the Rfam family "Bacterial small subunit ribosomal RNA", at positions 523 to 918 of the family's 1533-position model. The record is from RNAcentral.
AUACGGAGGAUCCGAGCGUUAUCCGGAUUUAUUGGGUUUAAAGGGUGCGCAGGCGGCCAUUUAAGUCAGCGGUUAAAUCGUGGGGCUCAACCCCAUUCUGCCGUUGAUACUGGGUGGCUUGAUUGCGGUCGAGGUUGGCGGAAUUCGUUGUGUAGCGGUGAAAUGCAUAGAUAUGACGAAGAACACCGAUUGCGUAGGCAGCUGACCAGAUCGCAAAUGACGCUCAUGCACGAAAGUGCGGGGAUCGAACAGGAUUAGAUACCCUGGUAGUCCGCACAGUAAACGAUGAAUACUUGUUUUCGGCGAUAUAAUGUCGGAGGCAAAGCGAAAGCGAUAAGUAUUCCACCUGGGGAGUACGCCGGCAACGGUGAAACUCAAAGGAUUUGACGGGG